Molecule: ribosomal RNA, 500 nt
Filed under: uncultured Chryseobacterium sp.
Lineage: Bacteria; Pseudomonadati; Bacteroidota; Flavobacteriia; Flavobacteriales; Weeksellaceae
Description: partial 16S ribosomal RNA
Source: RNAcentral
CACGGAGUUAGCCGGUGCUUAUUCGUACAGUACCUUCAGCUACUCUCACGAGAGUAGGUUUAUCCCUGUACAAAAGAAGUUUACAACCCAUAGGGCCGUCAUCCUUCACGCGGGAUGGCUGGAUCAGGCGCUAACCCAUUGUCCAAUAUUCCUCACUGCUGCCUCCCGUAGGAGUCUGGUCCGUGUCUCAGUACCAGUGUGGGGGAUCACCCUCUCAGGCCCCCUAAAGAUCAUCGACUUGGUGAGCCGUUACCUCACCAACUAUCUAAUCUUGCGCGUGCCCAUCUCUAUCCACCGGAGUUUUCAAUAAUCAAUGAUGCCAUCAAUUAUAUUAUGGGGUAUUAAUCUUCCUUUCGAAAGGCUAUCCCCCAGAUAAAGGCAGGUUGCACACGUGUUCCGCACCCGUACGCCGCUCUCUCUGUCCCGAAAGACAAAUACCGCUCGGCUUGCAUGUGUUAGGCCUCCCGCUAGCGUUCAUCCUGAGCCAGGAUCAAACUCUC